CAGAGAAAAUGCCCCUUGGGGUAUAUCUCCCACCCUGUGUCUACAAUACUUAUGUUGCUUUGGCAGGCCUGUCUCCUAAGACUGCUGGCUAUUACUGCUAGUUUGUGCCUGCCAGAGGACUUUAAUAUUCUUGCUACUUGUUGUCUGAGUACUAUACAAUAAUUA
This 165-nucleotide unclassified non-coding RNA is filed under the name uncultured Helotiales. RNAcentral's name for it is "sequence contains ITS1". Lineage: Eukaryota; Fungi; Ascomycota; Leotiomycetes; Helotiales. The record is from RNAcentral.